RNAcentral lists this ribosomal RNA (522 nucleotides) under uncultured bacterium. RNAcentral's name for it is "bacterial SSU rRNA". It matches the Rfam family "Bacterial small subunit ribosomal RNA", at positions 981 to 1498 of the family's 1533-position model. The record is from RNAcentral.
UUGACAUCCCGAAGAUCUCCUGGAAACAGGAGAGUGCUUUCAUUAGAGAGAAUUCGGUGACAGGUGUUGCAUGGCUGUGGUCAGCUCGUGUCGUGAGAUGUUGGGUUAAGUCCCGCAACGAGCGCAACCCUUGCCAUUAGUUGCCAUCAUUUAGUUGGGCACUCUAAUGGGACCGCCGGUGUCAAACCGGAGGAAGGUGGGGAUGACGUCAAGUCCUCAUGGCCUUUAUGACCAGGGCUACACACGUACUACAAUGGCCGGUACAAAGGGCAGCCACAGGGCGACCUGAAGCAAAUCCCUUAAAGCCGGUCUCAGUCCGGAUCGGAGUCUGCAACUCGACUCCGUGAAGUUGGAAUCGCUAGUAAUCGUGGAUCAGCAUGCCACGGUGAAUACGUUCCCGGGCCUUGUACACACCGCCCGUCACACCACGGAAGUCGGUUGUACCAGAAGUAGUUGAGCGAACCUUCGGGACGCAGGCUACCAAGGUAUAGCUGGUAACUGGGGUGAAGUCGUAACAAGGUA